UUGCACGCUGGCGGCAUGCUUUACACAUGCCAGUCGCACGGCAGCGCGGGCUUCGGCCUGGCGGCGAGUGGCGAACGGGUGAGUAAUGCAUCGGAACGUGCCCAGUAGUGGGGGAUAGCCCGGCGAAAGCCGGAUUAAUACCGCAUACGACCUGAGGGUGAAAGCGGGGGACCGAAAGGCCUCGCGCUAUUGGAGCGGCCGAUGUCGGAUUAGCUAGUUGGUGGGGUAAAGGCUUACCAAGGCGACGAUCCGUAGCUGGUCUGAGAGGACGACCAGCCACACUGGGACUGAGACACGGCCCAGACUCCUACGGGAGGCAGCAGUGGGGAAUUUUGGACAAUGGGGGCAACCCUGAUCCAGCCAUGCCGCGUGCGAGAAGAAGGCCUUCGGGUUGUAAACCGCUUUUGUUCGGGAAGAAAUCCUCUGGGCUAAUACCCCGGGGGGAUGGCGGUACCGGAAGAAUAAGCACCGGCUAACUACGUG
RNAcentral lists this ribosomal RNA (483 nucleotides) under uncultured bacterium. RNAcentral's name for it is "partial 16S ribosomal RNA". It matches the Rfam family "Bacterial small subunit ribosomal RNA", at positions 29 to 507 of the family's 1533-position model. The record is from RNAcentral.